This is a small nuclear RNA of Callithrix jacchus (white-tufted-ear marmoset), 141 nucleotides long. Its record names the gene U4. It matches the Rfam family "U4 spliceosomal RNA". Rfam says of the family: U4 small nuclear RNA (U4 snRNA) is a component of the major U2-dependent spliceosome. The structure of U4 snRNA from yeast and human has been reported. U4 snRNA presents a k-turn RNA motif in the 5p-SL related to recognition of Snu13 protein. The record is from Ensembl. Lineage: Eukaryota; Metazoa; Chordata; Mammalia; Primates; Cebidae.
AGCUUUCCACAGUGGCAGUAUCAUAGCCAAUGAGGUUUAUCUGAGGCACAAUUAUUGCUAAUUGAAAACAUUUCCAAAUACCCUGCCAUGAAGACUUGCAAUAUAGUUGACAUUAGCAAUUUUUGACAGUCUCUAUGGUGA